CGGAACGGGUGAGUAACACGUGGGUGACCUGCCCUUAGCUCUGGGAUAAGCCUGGGAAACUGGGUCUAAUACCGGAUAUGACUCCAUGACGCAUGUUGUGGGGUGGAAAGCCUUGUGCGGCUAGGGAUGGGCCCGCGGCCUAUCAGCUUGUUGGUGGGGUGAUGGCCUACCAAGGCGACGACGGGUAGCCGGCCUGAGAGGGCGACCGGCCACACUGGGACUGAGACACGGCCCAG
This 236-nucleotide ribosomal RNA is filed under the name uncultured bacterium. Its description in RNAcentral is "partial 16S ribosomal RNA". It matches the Rfam family "Bacterial small subunit ribosomal RNA", at positions 100 to 334 of the family's 1533-position model. The record is from RNAcentral.